GGGGUUGUAGCUCAGUGGUAGAGUGCAUGUUUCUCAUGUAUGAGAUCCCGGGUUCAAUCCCCAGCAUCUCCA
Molecule: non-coding RNA, 72 nt
Organism: Ornithorhynchus anatinus (platypus)
Lineage: Eukaryota; Metazoa; Chordata; Mammalia; Monotremata; Ornithorhynchidae
Source: the annotation of a RefSeq genome assembly